UCGGAUCAGGUAGGAAUACCCGCUGAACUUAAGCAUAUCAAUAAGCGGAGGA
This 52-nucleotide ribosomal RNA is filed under the name Sarocladium kiliense. RNAcentral's name for it is "partial 28S ribosomal RNA". Lineage: Eukaryota; Fungi; Ascomycota; Sordariomycetes; Hypocreales; Sarocladiaceae. RNAcentral also lists the same sequence under 3 other names. The record is from RNAcentral.